RNAcentral lists this long non-coding RNA (1001 nucleotides) under Nicotiana tabacum (common tobacco). RNAcentral's name for it is "long non-coding RNA (NTAB_LNC019259)". The record is from RNAcentral. Lineage: Eukaryota; Viridiplantae; Streptophyta; Magnoliopsida; Solanales; Solanaceae.
UAUAACAAAGCGAAUCAACGCAUUCAAGGAUACAUUUCAAUUUCAGAGAAACUUGAGGACACUCAAUCAUAUCACAUAGUGGAUAUAUAAGGAAGGAUCUGUAUAUACAAAUGUAACAUUGCCACUCAUUUCAAUAUUAAGCACGAGCAACUUGGAUACUAACAAUACUCCCUAUUUACUACUGCUCCUAAAUAUAAGCUUGCCUAGACAUGAUCAAACAGUUGGUCUGCAUUCCUGUUCCGCGAUCAUCUUUACAGAGGAACACAUCAUUUGGUUUCCAAAUCAUUAAAAAAAACAUCAAUAAUUCUCCUGGAUCUAAUUAUAACACAAAAUCAUAAAACUAAUUAAGUCUCAUCAACAGAAUUCAAAGAAGGCAUUUCAAUUUCCUCAUUAAAAUAAGCUACACCAUCAUAAACUCAAAUACAUUAAGGGAUUAUCGAAGAAGUAAAUGGAUUACCUCAAAAAGGACAAGGAUAAGCGAUUUGGAUCAAAUAAAGGCCAGAAAAAUGAAGAUGAAGCUGAGCAACUUAUUACGGCAGAAACAGCAAAAUCACAGCUUACACUAGCUUAAGACGAAAGUGAAUCUUUUAUAGAUCCAAGGAAAAGGAAUUAGAACUUUGAAAAUUCAGCAAUCAAUUACUUCCCAAAUCUUGUUCGAAAUCGCAGUUUUCUAUGUGUAUCUAUGUGUGUGUAUCCAUGAAUCCAAAUGAGAGUGAGGUCCCUCCUAUUGCGUGAGAAUCCGAGAGGUGGGGGUGGCUGCUAAGUCCUUUUUUUUUGUAAAGGGGAAGAUAGGUUUUCUAAGAGAGGGGGAGAUCUGUUCUUCGUUGUUAGAGUGAGGGCUCUGAAAUCAGAGAUGGGGGUAGCUGCAAUAUCCGGGAGUGAAGAAAAAGAUUGGCAACGCUAGGUUUUUAGAAAAUGGGGGAGAGUUUUCGUCCGUCUCUGUUGUGGUUUUUUGCCUCUAAGCAGAGAGUGAAAUUAGGGUCUCCUCUAAUAGAGUGGGG